UCUUCGGACAUUGAGACCGGCGCACGGGUGCGUAACGCGUAUGCAACCUACCUUCAACAGGGGGAUAGCCCAGAGAAAUUUGGAUUAAUACCCCAUAGUGUUUUAGUGUGGCAUCACAUUAUUACUAAAGUUCCAACGGUUGAAGAUGGGCAUGCGUCCCAUUAGCUAGAUGGUAAGGUAACGGCUUACCAUGGCAACGAUGGGUAGGGGUCCUGAGAGGGAGAUCCCCCACACUGGUACUGAGACACGGACCAGACUCCUACGGGAGGCAGCAGUGAGGAAUAUUGGUCAAUGGGCGCAAGCCUGAACCAGCCAUGCCGCGUGCAGGAUGAAGCGUCUAUGGUGUGUAAACUGCUUUUGUACGGGAAGAAACAGCGAUUCGUGAAUCGCCUUGACGGUACCGUAAGAAUAAGGACCGGCUAACUCCGUGCCAGCAGCCGCGGUAAUACGGAGGGUCCAAGCGUUAUCCGGAAUCAUUGGGUUUAAAGGGUCCGUAGGCGGUUUGGUAAGUCAGUGGUGAAAUCUGGUCGCUCAACGAUCAAACGGCCAUUGAUACUGCCAGACUUGAAUUAUUGUGAAGUAACUAGAAUAUGUAGUGUAGCGGUGAAAUGCUUAGAGAUUACAUGGAAUACCAAUUGCGAAGGCAGGUUACUAACAAUGGAUUGACGCUGAUGGACGAAAGCGUGGGG
Molecule: ribosomal RNA, 689 nt
Filed under: uncultured bacterium
Lineage: Bacteria
Description: bacterial SSU rRNA
Rfam family: Bacterial small subunit ribosomal RNA
Source: RNAcentral